AUACGAAAGACUUAUAAAAACCUUUCUUGAAAACAACACCAAAAAUAAAAUUUGCCAACUCUUACUUCAAGAUAUGAGUAAUGAUAUAACGCUUGUGCAACUGCAAGGGUUGGGCCUGAUAGGAAAAAUAAUAACUGGGCCAUGGAUGAGUCUGGUUUAUAAAAAUGCAACAGGAAAGAGUAAUCU
Hydra vulgaris (swiftwater hydra) is the source of this 186-nucleotide long non-coding RNA. RefSeq lists it as uncharacterized. The record is from RefSeq and is a predicted model, not a curated record. Lineage: Eukaryota; Metazoa; Cnidaria; Hydrozoa; Anthoathecata; Hydridae.